This 253-nucleotide ribosomal RNA is filed under the name uncultured bacterium. RNAcentral's name for it is "partial 16S ribosomal RNA". It matches the Rfam family "Bacterial small subunit ribosomal RNA", at positions 524 to 776 of the family's 1533-position model. The record is from RNAcentral.
UACGUAGGGGGCAAGCGUUGUCCGGAAUUAUUGGGCGUAAAGAGCGCGUAGGCGGUCCGGUAAGUCGGUUGUGAAAGUCGGGGGCUCAACCCUCGGAUGCCGAUCGAUACUGUCGGGCUAGAGUCCGGAAGAGGCGAGUGGAAUUCCUGGUGUAGCGGUGAAAUGCGCAGAUAUCAGGAGGAACACCGGUGGCGAAGGCGGGAUCCUGGGCCAGUACUGACGCUGAGGAGCGAAAGCGUGGGGAGCAAACAGG